CUUCAGUUUAUACUUGAUCGUAUCAGUGCCCGGCUAGCGGGGUGGAAGGGACGAAUGUUGUCCAUGGCGGGCAGGCGCGUUCUGGUCCGCUGCGUCCUCUCGGCCUUGCCCUCCUUCGCUCUUACAGCGCUUCGAGUCCCAAAGAAGCCGCUGAAGGAAAUUGACAAGUGCAGGCGGAGAUUUCUCUGGGGAAAGGACCAAGAACUCUCGGGCGGCAGCUGCAAGGUUAGCUGGGAUCGGGUCUGCUCCCCGGUCGAGCAU
RNAcentral lists this ribosomal RNA (261 nucleotides) under Triticum aestivum (bread wheat). RNAcentral describes it as "partial small subunit ribosomal RNA". The record is from RNAcentral. Lineage: Eukaryota; Viridiplantae; Streptophyta; Magnoliopsida; Poales; Poaceae.